Pieris rapae (cabbage white) is the source of this 365-nucleotide long non-coding RNA. RefSeq lists it as uncharacterized. Lineage: Eukaryota; Metazoa; Arthropoda; Insecta; Lepidoptera; Pieridae. The record is from RefSeq and is a predicted model, not a curated record. The transcript is spliced from 4 exons.
UGUUUUAGAUCCGAGAAAAGUGAGCCCCCGACGUAUAUACAGCGUACACGCAAAUGUUGGUCACGCAUAUCAACCAGUACAUCUUCUCAUUGAUACUGCUAUAUCGGGCCUGGAAGUUGUCAUUGAUGUACCGCUAGGUGGCGCUGAAACCACGGAUUCAUUUAUAUCUAUGAAAAUGAUGGAGAAAGAAACAUCAAAGAAUAAGAAAAACUUAACACCCAAAGACUUUUUCGAAGAAGAAGACCGAAAGCGGGCUGUGAGAAAUGAGAACAUGUGCCAUUGUCGGUAUAAAAUGAUGUACAUUCCGCCGGUGAAAGAGUCACCGCCUCAAGACAUCGAUGAAGAAUAUCAUUGCGUGGAUAUUA